This 301-nucleotide ribosomal RNA is filed under the name uncultured bacterium. RNAcentral's name for it is "partial 16S ribosomal RNA". It matches the Rfam family "Bacterial small subunit ribosomal RNA", at positions 509 to 807 of the family's 1533-position model. The record is from RNAcentral.
CAGUAGCCGCGGUAAUACGUAGGGUGCAAGCGUUAAUCGGAAUUACUGGGCGUAAAGCGUGCGCAGGCGGUUAUAUAAGACAGAUGUGAAAUCCCCGGGCUCAACCUGGGAACUGCAUUUGUGACUGUAUAGCUAGAGUACGGCAGAGGGGGAUGGAAUUCCGCGUGUAGCAGUGAAAUGCGUAGAUAUGCGGAGGAACACCGAUGGCGAAGGCAAUCCCCUGGGCCUGUACUGACGCUCAUGCACAAAAGCGUGGGGAGCAAACAGGAUUAGAUACCCCCGUAGUCCCUGUCUCUUAUAC